Molecule: ribosomal RNA, 301 nt
Filed under: uncultured bacterium
Lineage: Bacteria
Description: partial 16S ribosomal RNA
Rfam family: Bacterial small subunit ribosomal RNA
Source: RNAcentral
CAGCCGCCGCGGUAAUACGGAGGGAGCUAGCGUUGUUCGGAAUUACUGGGCGUAAAGCGCACGUAGGCGGCUUUGUAAGUUAGAGGUGAAAGCCUGGGGCUCAACUCCAGAAUUGCCUUUAAGACUGCAUCGCUUGAAUCAUGGAGAGGCGGGUGGAAUUCCGAGUGUAGAGGUGAAAUUCGUAGAUAUUCGGAAGAACACCAGUGGCGAAGGCGGCUCACUGGCUCAUUCUAGACGCUUAGGUGCGAAAGCGUGGGGAGCAAACAGGAUUAGAUACCCCUGUAGUCCCUGUCUCUUAUAA